Molecule: unclassified non-coding RNA, 379 nt
Filed under: uncultured Pyronemataceae
Lineage: Eukaryota; Fungi; Ascomycota; Pezizomycetes; Pezizales; Pyronemataceae
Description: sequence contains ITS2
Rfam family: 5.8S ribosomal RNA (bases 1-154)
Source: RNAcentral
AACUUGCAACAAUGGAUCUCUUGGUUCUCGCAGCGAUGAAGAACGCAUCGAAAUGCGAUAAGUAGUGUGAAUUGCAAAAUUCAGUGAAUCAUCGAAUCUUUGAACGCACAUUGCGCCUCCUGGUAUUCCGGGAGGCAUGCCUGUUCGAGCGUCAUUAAAUACCUCUCAAGCAGAUUUGCUUGGUCUUGGAAGAUGAGUUUGCUUGCAUUCUCCCUUCUGAAAUUCAAAGGCGGAUGAUCUCAUAUCCCCAGGCGUAGUAAGAUUAUCUUUUCGCAUGGUGUGUGUGAUAGUCCAGCCGUCAACCCCCAAUUUUUUCAAGGUUGACCUCGGAUCAGGUAGGGAUACCCGCUGAACUUAAGCAUAUCAAUAAGCGGAGGCU